This 1361-nucleotide ribosomal RNA is filed under the name Lactiplantibacillus plantarum subsp. plantarum. RNAcentral describes it as "bacterial SSU rRNA". It matches the Rfam family "Bacterial small subunit ribosomal RNA", at positions 67 to 1417 of the family's 1533-position model. Lineage: Bacteria; Bacillati; Bacillota; Bacilli; Lactobacillales; Lactobacillaceae. The record is from RNAcentral.
UUGCAUCAUGAUUUACAUUUGAGUGAGUGGCGAACUGGUGAGUAACACGUGGGAAACCUGCCCAGAAGCGGGGGAUAACACCUGGAAACAGAUGCUAAUACCGCAUAACAACUUGGACCGCAUGGUCCGAGUUUGAAAGAUGGCUUCGGCUAUCACUUUUGGAUGGUCCCGCGGCGUAUUAGCUAGAUGGUGGGGUAACGGCUCACCAUGGCAAUGAUACGUAGCCGACCUGAGAGGGUAAUCGGCCACAUUGGGACUGAGACACGGCCCAAACUCCUACGGGAGGCAGCAGUAGGGAAUCUUCCACAAUGGACGAAAGUCUGAUGGAGCAACGCCGCGUGAGUGAAGAAGGGUUUCGGCUCGUAAAACUCUGUUGUUAAAGAAGAACAUAUCUGAGAGUAACUGUUCAGGUAUUGACGGUAUUUAACCAGAAAGCCACGGCUAACUACGUGCCAGCAGCCGCGGUAAUACGUAGGUGGCAAGCGUUGUCCGGAUUUAUUGGGCGUAAAGCGAGCGCAGGCGGUUUUUUAAGUCUGAUGUGAAAGCCUUCGGCUCAACCGAAGAAGUGCAUCGGAAACUGGGAAACUUGAGUGCAGAAGAGGACAGUGGAACUCCAUGUGUAGCGGUGAAAUGCGUAGAUAUAUGGAAGAACACCAGUGGCGAAGGCGGCUGUCUGGUCUGUAACUGACGCUGAGGCUCGAAAGUAUGGGUAGCAAACAGGAUUAGAUACCCUGGUAGUCCAUACCGUAAACGAUGAAUGCUAAGUGUUGGAGGGUUUCCGCCCUUCAGUGCUGCAGCUAACGCAUUAAGCAUUCCGCCUGGGGAGUACGGCCGCAAGGCUGAAACUCAAAGGAAUUGACGGGGGCCCGCACAAGCGGUGGAGCAUGUGGUUUAAUUCGAAGCUACGCGAAGAACCUUACCAGGUCUUGACAUACUAUGCAAAUCUAAGAGAUUAGACGUUCCCUUCGGGGACAUGGAUACAGGUGGUGCAUGGUUGUCGUCAGCUCGUGUCGUGAGAUGUUGGGUUAAGUCCCGCAACGAGCGCAACCCUUAUUAUCAGUUGCCAGCAUUAAGUUGGGCACUCUGGUGAGACUGCCGGUGACAAACCGGAGGAAGGUGGGGAUGACGUCAAAUCAUCAUGCCCCUUAUGACCUGGGCUACACACGUGCUACAAUGGAUGGUACAACGAGUUGCGAACUCGCGAGAGUAAGCUAAUCUCUUAAAGCCAUUCUCAGUUCGGAUUGUAGGCUGCAACUCGCCUACAUGAAGUCGGAAUCGCUAGUAAUCGCGGAUCAGCAUGCCGCGGUGAAUACGUUCCCGGGCCUUGUACACACCGCCCGUCACACCAUGAGAGUUUGUAA